RNAcentral lists this long non-coding RNA (612 nucleotides) under Equus asinus (donkey). RNAcentral's name for it is "lncRNA (ENSEASG00005034395.1)". Lineage: Eukaryota; Metazoa; Chordata; Mammalia; Perissodactyla; Equidae. The record is from RNAcentral.
CUUGUUAGUGGCAAGAACUCGAGUGCACUGUGCACUCUGUGAGGUCAUAAAGUGAAGAAAGUGCAAUUACACAAUGAAAAGGGGCAAGCACACUGCAUAAAAGUGUAGAUGAGCUAAAGCUACAUGGAAGAGACAAGACAGCAUGCCGGUGGGGGGAGCAGCCCAACAGGGGAGCCAGGCAGCUGUCUCCUGACUACUUUCUUGACUGGAAAACAUGGAAUGCCUCAGAAUGCUCCAUAUCUUUGUAAGAUGCUUAUUUUGCCUGCAAAAGAAAGUCAUGUGUCUGGAAUAAUAACAUGAAAUGAUAUGAGCAGUGGCGAUUCAAGAAAUUACUCUUCAAAAAAAGUCUAUAGACAUGGUCUCAGGAAAGCUAAAUGCCAAGCAUUAGCAUGAAGAGGCUUCAGGAAAGAUGGUUCCCCGAGGAUGACUUCAAAUUCUGAAAAUAAAAUGCAGCAGACCAGAUCGUAACGUCAGAAUUCAUUUUGGCAACUCUUGGAAAAGAAGAUUCAUUGUUUUGGUUGGUUUGUAAAGCUCUAAUGGUAAACUUCUGUUGUUUUCUAAAGAAAAGGUGGGCCCUUAGAGCACAUAAUAAAUAGUAACAUCGAUUUCACC